This 245-nucleotide ribosomal RNA is filed under the name uncultured bacterium. RNAcentral's name for it is "partial small subunit ribosomal RNA". It matches the Rfam family "Bacterial small subunit ribosomal RNA", at positions 26 to 285 of the family's 1533-position model. The record is from RNAcentral.
AGAAUCAACGCUGGCGGCGUGCCUAACACAUGCAAGUCGAACGAGAAAGGGAUUUCGGUCCUGAGUAUAGUGGCGCACGGGUGAGUAACACGUGAAUAAUCUACCUCCGAGUGGGGAAUAACUGAGAGAAAUCUUAGCUAAUACCGCAUAACACUUACGAGUCAAAGCAGCAAUGCGCUUGGAGAGGAGUUCGCGGCCGAUUAGUUAGUUGGCGGGGUAAUGGCCCACCAAGACGAUGAUCGGUA